UUUCAUCAAGCCGCAGCUAUGGUUAAUGAAGGAGGAGAAGGUUGUGAGAGUGGGGAGCAGAGGAUAACUUUCUUGAAUCAGCUAUCAAUUUUCACCAUCAUGGGCUUUGUACCAUAGCAGCUGAUAUCAAGGAAGGAAUAUUGAGGAAAGGUGAUAGCUCCUAUUCAGAAGUGACUUGAAAGAAAUAAAAGAUAAA
Long non-coding RNA from Equus caballus (horse), 196 nucleotides. RefSeq lists it as uncharacterized. The record is from RefSeq and is a predicted model, not a curated record. NCBI's taxonomy places the organism in Eukaryota, Metazoa, Chordata, Mammalia, Perissodactyla, Equidae.